GACUAUCGGAUUCCCUCUACCACU
This 24-nucleotide microRNA is filed under the name Ananas comosus (pineapple). Its description in RNAcentral is "microRNA s0275_c098". Lineage: Eukaryota; Viridiplantae; Streptophyta; Magnoliopsida; Poales; Bromeliaceae. The record is from RNAcentral.